Non-coding RNA from Chrysemys picta bellii (western painted turtle), 4979 nucleotides. NCBI's taxonomy places the organism in Eukaryota, Metazoa, Chordata, Testudines, Emydidae. The record is from RefSeq and is a predicted model, not a curated record.
AUGAGCCCAGCACAGGGACUGUGUUUUGUACCAUCUUUUUGCCUCCCUUAUGCUGGGGCUGAAGGGAGCCAUCUCAGGCCCUGGAGCUGGUUAGAGCAGCCUUUGGGGAUGCCCCAACCCAUGUCUAGCUGCCGACGGUCUCUGUGGGCCCCUGCAGUAGCUAAGCCCUGGUCUACACUUAAACUUUAGAUUGACCCAGCUACAUUGCUCAGGGGUGUGAGCGGUUACACUGACCUAACGCUGGUAUAGACAUAGCUGGGUCGAUGGAAGAGUCCUUCCAUCAACCUAGCUACUGCCGCUCCGGGAGGUGGAUUAAUUACAGCAACAGAAAAACCCCUUUCUGUCAAUGCUGGAGGUGUCUACACAACAGCUGUAGAGCCCGUAGUGCAGACACGCCCUAUGACAAGCAGGGGCGGUGUCCUACUCGACGCCCUUUACCCAAGGCUGUUCCCCAUCAUGCGCCUGAAGCAGCAGGCUCCUGGGCCACCGUUCGGGCCAUUCCCCAAAGGUCCCUAUACGUUCUGCCACGGCCUGUGUCAAGUGACGGUGCUCUGUCACUCUCAAACACCUCCCCCACACACACUUAGACCCAACACCCACCUGUGCCUCCAGUCCCUGCCCACCCACCCCCAGCCCCUCACUCCGCUGCUUCCCAGGAAAGCCAGUGGUGCGCAGUGGCUGAGAUUCAGGGCUAUUCUUAACCUGUCUGUCACUUGUAUCGCAUGACAGACAGUAACAGGAACCGAGCCCCUCCCAUUCUGCUUUCCUUCAGCUGCCUCCCAGGUCACAACAACUAUCAGAUCUGCUCUAGCUCCCUGGGCCGGGAAGGGCCAUUGAAUGGGGAAUUUCGUGCUGUGGGGCAGGCAGGUGCUGGGAGCACCAAGAGGCAUGGGCACUGGGUUGUGCUGGGCGGGCGCACCAAGGGGCCUGCACGCACCAUGUAUUCCUGGGGGUGGAAGCAUGGGGGGGCCCACUGCCAUGGGGCAGGAAGCACCGAGAGCUGCUUCCUUAGUGAUAGCCCAGCAGGGGUCACCCAGCUAGCCCACGCUCCAUCCCCGUGCUGUGAGCCCUGCAGAGCUCUCUCUUUAUGUGCCUCCUAGGCCCGGGGCCCGGCAGGGAAGGAAACCUGCCAGGCAGUUCCCAGAGCAGCGGGCAGUGCUCAUGGAGUGGGCAGGUUCCCCUCCCCCGAGUGGGGCCGGCGACUGGCUGGGAUCCGCUUGGCGGUGAUGGCUGAUACGGUGCUCGUGGCGCACCCCAUCCCUGCCAAGCAGUGCAAACCCCCCCAGCGGGUCGCCCUGCGGCAGCCUGGAAGAGAGAGGGUGGAGAGGGGAGGCGCUGACCACCACCUAGGUGAAGCGAAUGAGCCAGGGGCAAGGUCCGGCGGCCAAGGGCUGUGUCCGGGAAGGGGCUGGCCCUGGGCAUGUGCCUGAGCAUGGGCCCCGGGAAUCAGCACAGCUGGUGCAGGGCGAUGCGUGGCCCUGAGGGCCUUGCUGAGGAAGCGUUUCCUGGCCAUGAAUCACCUGGAAAUGAUCCCUGGAUACCGCCCCGUCCCCAGUGACUCAGGGAUCAGCCUGGUGGGCGUAAGGAUAUUGGGGAGCCUGGUGCAGUCUUGCUGCCCCCCUCUGGUGGGGGAAGGCAGGCAGCAUGAGUCACUAGGCCUUCUGCAGCACCCAUGGCCAUCUGGGGUGGGUGUGGGUGGCCAGACAGCACUGGGACCCCCUUCCCAUACACUAACCCAGAACCUCUCUGUUCCCCCAGCGUGGGGUCCAGCCAGAGAAACGCCACAGCAAGAUAGCUGGGGUGCCCCAAAAGUCCUGCACCCGUCACAUCUUCCUGGGGUAAUGUGGGGCUGAGCUUCAAGGGGUCAUGGCCUGGAGCAGAGACCAUGGGGCUAGGCAAAGGCCUGGAGACUGUGGGUAAAAGCCACUGUGGGGCUGGUUUUUGACAGCAAACAGGGACCUCAAGGGGUUUUUUAAUACUAGUGAGCUAGUUCCUAUGCAAUCAGUGCAGCAUCCAUCUAGCUAUCUACCCACCCUUCGGCACGGCUAGGUUUAGUCCGGCCUGGUGUGCGUCGUCCAGGUGUAAAGAGCCCGUUGGCAAAGCCUAUGCCCGGGUGGGAGACCCCAGGGCUCAGCUGCCUGUGCUUGUUGCCUGAUGCUGGCAGGGAGUCUGGCUCGGCUCGGCUCUGAGGGAGCUGGCAGCAGGGCUCCCUCUGUGACCAUUUCCGGUACAACUUGGGGGAAGGGAGAGCUCUCUGUGCCCCGCACCCAUCACACCUGGGACUGUCCCAAGGAAAUUCCCUCUGUGUCCCCUGGCCAUACUGCUGGGGCCUCAGUGCUGAGCCAGGCAGGCGGAGCUGGGCUGGGCUCCCUGCCUGGGGGGGCUAGUGACAUAGACGUAUUGCUUGCAGCUCCUCUGCGUCAGUGUGUUCCAGCCUGUUCCAGCGACUCCACCCCCCACCCUACAGGGCGACACAGCCCAGAGAUGAGGGGGCAGAGAUUUGCUGUGUGUUACUCCAAUACAGUGCAGAGUCUGCCUCUCCAGCUGCCAGUGCUGCGUGCAGCGGGAGCUGCAUGGGUUAGAGACGAGGGCCCGCCCAACAUGCCAGCCGGACCAUCCCUGCUGCUGGGGGCCACUGGGAGGAGUCCGCGCCCCUCGGACCGAGCAGGAGAGCAGACAGAGGGAUGAAAAGCGGUAAACAGACCAUCUAUCAUAACAUUCUCAUGCUGGGAUCCAGCAACCUCCGUCAGCAGGCAGCCAGGAACAGACGCUCACAACAACCUGACAAGAAGCAGAUGGCAGCUCCCUAGGCUGGAGUUCCUUCCAUCCGGUGCGCUGGCAGCGCCUCCUCUCCUCUAUGUCCUAUAUCCAACCUGUGGAUCCUGGCUUGGAGUCCACAGGAAAGGAGCUGCCUCCACGGAGCUGAGCAAAGUGCAAGCCAGGUGUCAGUUCUACAGCUAACUCCAACGGGCGGAGCAGGAACCAGGACUGUCCAAUGGUACCAAGAGUCCUGGUCCUUCUCCAGCGCCAACCCCCAUGCUCCCAAUCAAUCCCAUGUUUCCAGGUUCCCUGAGGGAAAGAAAAGAGCAAAAGUAAAGGCAAGCUUGUGCAGAAGCGGAAAAACAGCCGGGAAAGUGGCUCUCCCAGCCUCCCCCAGCUAUUUGCAGGCAACCCACCUAUAACAGCCAAUAGACCAGGUAUCAGACACACAGGCUCGAAUCAGCCUUUCCAGCUGUGCCACAGAAAUCAACACCUUGCUAGACAUCACAGAGAUCAUCACACAAAUGGGAGAAACCCUCUUAACACAACACCUUCACCCUGUCCUGGCCAGGGUACAUUUCUCCUCUUUGCCCCUGGCUUCGCUGCAGUCACCAGGGCUGGACAGGAGCAGAGCAGACUGGCUUACCACGUCAGCUCUUUCAGGUUUCAGCCUUGAAGUGGUUUGAACAAGCCAGCGGAAAGCACAGCCCUGAAAGAUCAGGGGUUUAGAAACAUUUCCAGCCACGGCAUUACCUCCAGGCCCCGAAUUGGCUGGGCAAGCGAGCAGCAAGCUGCAGCCAUGUUUGGAAAUCAAUCUGCCGUGAGUCAGAGACACGGGACGCACUCACUAAAGGACUAGCUGAGAGAGAGAGGCUCAGCGCAUGAAAGGAAAAUGGGACACGGACUCCCAGGAGAACCUAGAGGAUGAUAACAAGGCAGCCAACUUUCAAAAUGCUCACCCACCAUCUCUUUCCUCCUGGCUAGCUAGCAUGCAGAACAUACUGAUGCAACAUGCAAAGAGAUCCCAGGAGUCUCCUACUCCCAGGCAAUCAGCCAGCCCAAGAUGGAGAGACCACCCUCUUCUGCGCCAAGCCACACAGCAAACCUGCGCUCUGUGCUGUGAUACGAACCUGGUCUGGCCCGUUGUGAGGGAUGCACACAGUAGAGUAGGCAGGUCUGAGGCCAGUUUGGGGAGGAUGGAGUUUUAGGCAAUGAGCUAUCAUAGCACCAAAGAAAACACACAAAUAGAGACCUCAAGCUGAAGCUACCCUCUGCUGUAUUCUGUAUAGAAAGAGGCCAGCUUUCCCCUUAUAUAGUGAAUAACUAACCUUGCCGACUUACCUGAGUGUGAGAGUACAUACUGCACUACAGCCCCAUUAACCGACCCUUAUACACCACACUGACACUAGCUCCAUGGAACUAUUAGUGUCUAGCAAUCCUGCACCAAAAACUGGCUUAGGGGGACAAUGGCAUUCCAGCUAACUGUGUGUAUUAGCUAGAAUCCCCCUACACCACAUCCUAGUUCCUACCUGUGUAUAACACUACCACGCUGCAAAACCCGACGCCUCUCCACACAGGUAUUUCACAUCGUGUAUAGACGAGAGCUGGACUGGAACAAAACCCAGGCCCAGAUCUGGACGAACCUUUCCCAGACAUUGGGUUGUUCUGAUUCAGUGCUUGCUCUGUGUCCGCUUGUGCUGCAAGCUCAGAACCAGGGGUUAGAGGUGGGAUUCUGAUUCAGAGCCAGGUCUCAUACGUACCUGUGUAACUGCCUGUAAAUACCCCUCUGCAACACUGAGGGACAAGUUAUAAAAGUGCAAACAAAAGACCACAGAAUCCAGUUAGUUUGGGGCAAUUUCACGAGCUAAAGAUGUGUCCAUUGUUAGGAUAUAGAUAUUCAGGCCUGUCUGUAAAGGCCUAUACUUUAAGAAUUUAGGUGUAUUCUUAUCACUUAGCUAGUUAUAGAGGUAUAAAAGAAAGAAUCAAAAUCACUGUCUGUGUAAGGGCCUUCUCUCACUGUGACAGUCUGAGGCCCCGGUUCUUAGGCUAAGACCUUUGGCUAAGCAGCAGAGGCCAGCCAUAAACUGGGAAGCGUAUGGUCCAGGGCCGACUCUAGCGUUUUUGGGGAAAAAAAGCAGGGAGGGGAAAAAAAAAAGCCACGAUCGCGAUCGGCAGCAAUUCGGUGGCAGCUCUAGCGCCACUUCAUUCUAUGGCGGCAA